Molecule: ribosomal RNA, 484 nt
Filed under: uncultured bacterium
Lineage: Bacteria
Description: partial 16S ribosomal RNA
Rfam family: Bacterial small subunit ribosomal RNA
Source: RNAcentral
AUUGAACGCUAGCGGGAUGCUUUACACAUGCAAGUCGAACGGCAGCGCGGACUUCGGUCUGGCGGCGAGUGGCGAACGGGUGAGUAAUGUAUCGGAACGUGCCCAGUAGCGGGGGAUAACUACGCGAAAGCGUAGCUAAUACCGCAUACGCCCUACGGGGGAAAGCAGGGGAUCGUAAGACCUUGCACUAUUGGAGCGGCCGAUAUCGGAUUAGCUAGUUGGUGAGGUAACGGCUCACCAAGGCGACGAUCCGUAGCUGGUUUGAGAGGACGACCAGCCACACUGGGACUGAGACACGGCCCAGACUCCUACGGGAGGCAGCAGUGGGGAAUUUUGGACAAUGGGGGCAACCCUGAUCCAGCCAUCCCGCGUGUGCGAUGAAGGCCUUCGGGUUGUAAAGAACUUUUGGCAGGAAAGAAACGUCGCGGGCUAAUACCCCGUGGAACUGACGGUACCUGCAGAAUAAGCACCGGCUAACUACGUG